UUUCCGUAGGUGAACCUGCGGAAGGAUCAUUAUCGAAUAAACUUGCACAGGCUGUUGCUGGCCCUUGAGGGGGUAUGUGCACGCUUGUCAUCUUUAUCAUUUCUCCCAACUGUGCACAUAUUGUAGACCUGUUGUAUCUUUUUGAAUUCUGAUAAGGAAUUCAAAGUUGGGGGACUGCUGUGCUUUAUCUACCAAAAGUCGGCUUUCCCUUGUAUUUUUCAGGUCUAUGUCAUUUUUUUUUCACAACCUCUAUAACAUGUUUAGAAUGUUGAAUCAGGUCCUUGUAACCUAUAUUAAAAGUUAUAAACAACUUUCAGCAACGGAUCUCUUGGCUCUCGCAUCGAUGAAGAACGCAGCGAAAUGCGAUAAGUAAUGGGAAUUGCAGAAUUCAGUGAAUCAUCGAAUCUUUGAACGCAUCUUGCGCCCCUUGGUAUUCCGAGGAGCAUGCCUGUUUGAGUGUCAUUUGACCUUCUCUCAACCAUAUCAGUCAAUGAUGUGGCUUGGAUGUGGGAUUGCAGGCUUCGAGUAUGAAGUCCAGCUCUCCUGAAAUGCAUUAGUGGUAUCUGUCUGAGCUGCUAUUUGGUGUGAUAACUUAUCUAUGCCUUUUGGUGAUCAGCACCGCUUAUAACCUACCAAAAUUGACAAAUUUGACCUCAAAUCAGGUAGGACUACCC
RNAcentral lists this ribosomal RNA (674 nucleotides) under Inocybe sp. DG79. RNAcentral describes it as "eukaryotic LSU rRNA". The stretch from base 309 to 462 matches the Rfam family "5.8S ribosomal RNA". The record is from RNAcentral. Lineage: Eukaryota; Fungi; Basidiomycota; Agaricomycetes; Agaricales; Inocybaceae.